CCACAUAUUAGUCGCAACUCAUUGAGAACUCGAAUACGGUGCAUUUCAGCGGACACUGAAUGAAGUGGCGUUCGAGGGCGGGCGGCGGCCCUCCCGCCCCCUUACAAGCGGCAGCGAUUUUUUACAAACAACUUCCUUACCUACCAAAAUAAGUUUAAACACGAUUCAUGUAAAAACUUAGGCCUGAUUAACAUGUAAUCUUACACAGAUUUUUUUAACGUCAAGGAAAAAGUAAGAAAAUGUGACUGCAUUUAGAUCGAUUAUCGGCUCGCUUUUGACGCUCAUAACUCGCGGCAAGCAUCCCCCCGCGACGUCCGCCCCGCCCUCUCGACCAGCCGAGUGCUGAUUGUGUGGUCGUCGAGUCAGCCGGAGGCCUUCGCGGCGCUGACACCGCACUCUGCUCCGCGGGAAUUUAUAAAGUUUCGACAUGGAUACGGAAGAGUUCAGGGUUCGGGGGAAGGAGAUGGUGGAUUACAUCUGCACGUAUAUGACGACGCUGCGUAAGCGCCGCGUGACGCCGUCGGUGGAGCCGGGCUACCUGCGCGCCGCGCUGCCCGCCGAAGCUCCUCAGCACCCUGAGGACUGGGAUACGGUUAUGGACGACGUGGAGAAGAAGAUCAUGCCCGGCGUCACGCACUGGCAGCAUCCGCGCUUCCACGCCUACUUUCCUUCGGGCAACGCGUAUCCGUCUAUCUUGGGCGAUAUGCUGUCUGCUGGCAUCGGAUGCAUUGGAUUCUCAUGGGCGGCCAGCCCAGCCUGCACAGAGCUGGAAAUCAUUAUGCUGGAUUGGAUGGGUAAAGCAAUCGGUCUGCCGCCGGCGUUCCUCGCACUCGAGCAAGGGAGUAAAGGCGGCGGCGUUAUUGAGGGUUCAGCGAGCGAAUGCGUGCUAGUAUCCAUGCUCGCCGCCCGCGCCAACGGCAUCAAGCGCCUCAAACACCAGUUCCCCAACGUAGACGAAGGCCUUCUGCUCUCCAAGCUUAUCGCCUAUUGCUCCAAGGAGGCCCACUCCUGCGUCGAGAAGGCCGCCAUGAUCUGCUUCGUCAAACUACGCAUUUUACAGCCCGAUGAGCACGGCUCGCUGAGGGGCGAGACACUUAAGCAGGCGAUGGAAGAAGACGAAGAGGCCGGUCGCGUGCCUUUUUUCGUAUCCCUGACGCUGGGCACGACCUCGUGCUGCUCGUACGACGACCUGCCCGGGAUCGGCCCCAUCGUGCGCAAGUACCCCUGUGUGUGGCUGCAUGUCGACGCGGCCUACGCUGGCGCCGCGUUCCUCUGUCAGGAGCACAAGCACCACCUGGCCGGAGUCGAGUACGCGGAUAGCUUCAACACCAACACUAACAAGCUCAUGCUUACUAACUUCGACUGUUCACUGCUGUGGGUUACCAACAGGUACCUGCUAACAUCAGCGUUAGUAGUGGACCCACUGUACCUCCAGCACUGCUACGACCACACUGCCAUCGACUACCGCCACUGGGGCAUCCCGCUGAGCCGGCGCUUCCGCUCGCUCAAGCUGUGGUUCAUGCUGCGCAGCUACGGCAUCAGCGGCCUGCAGCGCUACGUGCGCCGCCACUGCGAGUUGGCCAAGUACUUCGAGCAACUCGUUAGAAAAGACGACCGGUUCGAGGUCUGCAACAAAGUGACGCUGGGUCUCGUAUGCUUCCGACUAGUGAGCGGCGGCGAGACUCCCUCGGAGCAAGACGAGAUCAACAAGAAACUCCUUACCACAAUGAACGCGUCCGGAAAAAUCCACAUGGUGCCUGCGAAUGUGCGCGAUCGCUUCGUCAUCCGUUUCUGUGUUGUGGCGCAACACGCUACGCGCGAAGAUAUCGAAACUGCGUGGGAUAUAAUAACGGACUUCGCAACAGAACUUCUCGAAGGACCGGAUAAAGAAAGGGAUCUCAACGAGGAGCGCGCUCGACGGCACCGCGCUGCACUCGCCCACAAGCGCUCGUUCUUCGUGCGUAUGGUCAGCGACCCAAAGAUCUACAAUCCGGCCAUCAACAAGACCCCGCCGCCCGUGCCCGCCACGCCGGGGUCGCCGCCCCCCGCGCCCGCGCCGCAGACCCCCGACACGCCGUGCAACGACGGCGUGCAGCUUGAGCCGCCCACGCCGUACGUAUCUUCAUCAACAAGACCCCGCCGCCCGUGCCCGCCACGCCGGGGUCGCCGCCCCCCGCGCCCGCGCCGCGGACCCCCGACACGCCGUGCAACGACGGCGUGCAGCUUGAGCCGCCCACGCCGUACGUAUCUUCAUCAACAAGACCCCGCCGCCCGUGCCCGCCACGCCGGGGUCGCCGCCCCCCGCGCCCGCGCCGCAGACCCCCGACACGCCGUGCAACGACGGCGUGCAGCUUGAGCCGCCCACGCCGAAACAAGCAUCCUGGAUCAGCUGGCCGCUGGCGUUCUUCUUCCAGAGCGUUGACCACGACGCAAACGAUUUACCAUUAAGGUUCCGGCACCUGGACACGAUGGUGCGCCUCAAGAGCCCCGGCGCGGCGGGGCGGCGCGGCUCGUCGCCCGGGGCCUCGCCCGAGCGCCGCGCGCCCUCGCCCGCGCAUUGACCCCGCUACCCACCCGCGUAAACCAAUAAACUACUUGAGCAUU
This is an RNA transcript of Cydia pomonella (codling moth), 2604 nucleotides long. It is a transcript of the gene named tyrosine decarboxylase-like, with no coding region annotated. The record is from RefSeq and is a predicted model, not a curated record. Lineage: Eukaryota; Metazoa; Arthropoda; Insecta; Lepidoptera; Tortricidae. The transcript is spliced from 11 exons.